Non-coding RNA from Pongo abelii (Sumatran orangutan), 310 nucleotides. Lineage: Eukaryota; Metazoa; Chordata; Mammalia; Primates; Hominidae. The record is from Rfam.
AGAUGUUAGGGCAAUCUGGCUGCGACAUCUGUCACCUCAUUGAUCACUAGGGUUGAUAUGGCUGAUCUGGCUAGCUAGGCAGGUGUCCCCUUCCUCCCUCACCACUCCUUGUGCAUGCCUCCCAAAGCUGCACGCUGCGUCAAAGAAGAUGACCAUCCUCGAUAGAUGAGGAUGGGUCUUCAGUCAAGGGCAUAUGAUUACCCGUGCUCCCCUGCUAGAACCUCCAAACAAGCUUUCAAGGAAUGUACAAUGAAAAAAAAAGUUUUACCUUUCAAAUUAGCAUCUAUAUGAAAAAUACAAGAAUACAUUU